This 388-nucleotide ribosomal RNA is filed under the name uncultured fungus. RNAcentral's name for it is "partial small subunit ribosomal RNA". It matches the Rfam family "Eukaryotic small subunit ribosomal RNA", at positions 30 to 432 of the family's 1831-position model. The record is from RNAcentral. Lineage: Eukaryota; Fungi.
GCUUGUCUCAAAGAUUAAGCCAUGCAUGUCUAAGUAUAAAUAUCUAUACUGUGAAACUGCGUAUGGCUCAUUAAAUCAGUUAUAGUUUAUUUGAUGAUACCCCACUACAUGGAUAACCGUAGUAAUUCUAGAGCUAAUACAUGCGUCAAAUCCCGACUUUUUGGAAGGGAUGUAUUUAUUAGAUAAAAAACCAACACCUUUACCGGUGAAUCAUAAUAACUUUUCGAAUCGCCGCUUCGGCAGCGAUAGAUCUUGCAAAUUUCUGCCCUAUCAGCUUUCGACGGUAGUGUAGUGGACUACCGUGGCGUUAACGGGUGACGGGGAAUUAGGGUUCGGUUCCGGAGAGGGAGCCUGAGAAAUGGCUACCACAUCCAAGGAAGGCAGCAGG